CGUAGGGCGCAAGCGUUGUCCGGAAUUAUUGGGCGUAAAGAGCUCGUAGGCGGUUUGUCGCGUCUGCUGUGAAAGCCCGGGGCUUAACCCGUGGUGUGCAGUGGGUACGGGCAGACUAGAGUGCAGUAGGGGAGACUGGAAUUCCUGGUGUAGCGGUGAAAUGCGCAGAUAUCAGGAGGAACACCGAUGGCGAAGGCAGGUCUCUGGGCUGUUACUGACGCUGAGGAGCGAAAGCAUGGGGAGCGAACAGGAUU
RNAcentral lists this ribosomal RNA (254 nucleotides) under uncultured bacterium. Its description in RNAcentral is "partial 16S ribosomal RNA". It matches the Rfam family "Bacterial small subunit ribosomal RNA", at positions 526 to 779 of the family's 1533-position model. The record is from RNAcentral.